GACUACCAAGGGAGGCCUAGAGGUUCACCCUAACAUCCAAAAACAAACAAACCAACCAACCAGAACCACCACCUCAACCAGACUGCUUCCUCCCCUCCGGGGAUAACAACCUCCUCCCCUCGGGGAUAACAACCGCGCCACCGCCCAAGUUCCCAUUCCCCGGGCUCCCUGAGCUCACAAGGUCAGCGCACUCGACCUCAGGACUCCAAUUUCCACCUUCUCUACACGGGGGCUGCAUGACCUGGAUCAGCGAGGGAAAGCAAGGCCGGGCGAGCUGAGUUCCAUCUCCGGAACCCACACGAAGGUGGAAGGGAUAACCGACCCCGUACACCGGACACGCGCGUACGAUAAAAUUUCAAAAACGAA
Molecule: long non-coding RNA, 366 nt
Organism: Peromyscus leucopus (white-footed mouse)
Lineage: Eukaryota; Metazoa; Chordata; Mammalia; Rodentia; Cricetidae
Exons: 2
Source: RefSeq, a predicted model, not a curated record